UGUAAGCGUAUACCAAAGUUGUUGCAGUUAAAACGCUCGUAGUCGGAAUUUGGCAGUUCCGGAUGUGUGCACGUCGUGUGCGCACUUCGCGGGGAUUGCUUUUGUGGUCUUGCGUAGGAUGAGGCACUUUUAUUAGUGAACGUCCUCACGCAACCACUUUUUACUGUGAGAAAAUCAGAGUGCUCAAAGCAGGCAUUUGCCGUGAAUGUAUUAGCAUGGAAUAAUAGAAUAGGACUUGGUUCUAUUUUGUUGGUUUGUUGGGACUGAGUAAUGAUUAAGAGGGACAGUUGGGGGCAUUUGUAUUUCGGUGCUAGAGGUGAAAUUCUUAGAUCGCCGAAAGACAAACUGCUGCGAAAGCGUCUGCCAAGGAUGUUUUCAUUGA
This 382-nucleotide ribosomal RNA is filed under the name uncultured eukaryote. Its description in RNAcentral is "partial 18S ribosomal RNA". It matches the Rfam family "Eukaryotic small subunit ribosomal RNA", at positions 592 to 976 of the family's 1831-position model. The record is from RNAcentral.